RNAcentral lists this long non-coding RNA (1832 nucleotides) under Pomacea canaliculata. RNAcentral's name for it is "uncharacterized LOC112577295". The record is from RNAcentral. Lineage: Eukaryota; Metazoa; Mollusca; Gastropoda; Architaenioglossa; Ampullariidae.
GCGAUGCUGUCAGUCCAGUAGCGCUCAAGAAAUUCACCGUUCGUUCUAGUCUAGAUCAUCGACGGUCCUCCAGAAUUUACUCCUGUUGGCGAGGGCUUACGGCGCAUUUUGCUGUUUUGAUAUAAAACUCACUUCGUGGCGACAACAUUGUGGUUGUACUGGACACCCAUGCUGACGACUGGCUUGACGAGGGAGACGACAGUUACAUUGCUCGCUGCGUGCAAUUUCACUGACUGGCGUCCCCAGGGGAGGUAGACCUAGCCUCACCAACUUUGACCAUGAAACACUGGCAACGAGUAAUUGCGACCCAAUCAAGAGUUUAAGUAGUUAACACACGCACAUUUCUCUUCAGAAAAGUUUGGUAGUAAACAACGGUGGCUGUCGGCUGGCACUGAGGUAGAGUAUAAAAUUCGCUUUCUCGGUCAUUGCUGGUAUCGUCGCCGCUUACUUGAUCCAAAAGUACGAGCUGUCUUCACCAUCAAGAAGAAACACGUCGAGAAAAGGAAACGGAUACAAUGGGCCACUUAUCAACCAUCGUCCUUUCUUUCAUCUUUCUGGCUGCUUUUGAAUUUCCGAACUUCCUCGCCGAGAGUUACGAUGACGUCAGAGCGGAAAUGUGUGCUGAGGCGUGUAACGUGGAGAUGCAAUGGCGGGAAAACUGUGCAGCGAAGAAAGAAUGCGACAGCAUGGCCGCCGACGCCCGCUUGACCUGUCUGGAUUCUUGCCUUCAGGAAGCAGUGCGAUGCCAGAUGGCCUGCUGGGACAACUACAGCACCAUCACGGCUGUGUGUCGGGAUCGCUGUGGGUCGGACAACGACUCCGACAACUGCUGCAAAGCCUGUUUUCUGGACAGGUUCGGAGGCUGAAGACGGCAUAGACAAGAGGUAACCAAGAGUCCGAAGCUACCUUAGAAGAUGUAAUUGAUGCAGUCAAAGACAGAAUCACCAGAAAAAAGGACGAACUACGUGAGCUGAAAGCAACCUUCAAGAUCAUCAGUUUCUGGUCAAGAAUUCAUACAAUGGUCUUGAUUCUGUUUCUAGUGCUUUGUAUUGCACUUAAAAUCUGAGGCAUAUUUAAUAUUAACUGCAAAAGUUUGGCUUUAACAAAAAUAAUUUAAUGCAAGAUGGUUGAGUGACCCUCACGUCAAAAAUGAUUAAGUGAUGCUGUGGACUUAAAGGAUUGGAAACUAUUUUUUUUUAAGAGUUCCAGUUAACAGUAGAUUGAGUUUACUGAAUAUUUGGGACGUUAAAGCAGCUGUCACGUACAGGAUUUAUUAAGCUCCACCCCAAUCUCCCCCUCCCCCCAAAUUUAACAUUUGAUUAUUCUAAUAAAAUGAAUGAUUGCUCUGGUUCAGCCAGAGUUUUUUUCUUCAAAAGAAUGUGAAACAUUUAUUUAUAAUUUGGGUUGGAUCGGUACGUCUUUUUAAAUUUUAAUUUACUCUUUCAAGUAUGCAACAUCCUUGUGAUUGCUUAACAUCUUUACAGUUUUCAGCCUGUCUGCCUUGUCUACUUAUAAUCCAUUGAAAAAUAAUAUCAGUGACGAGAAUUUGGCGAGGGGAGAAUUAAAUGACUUCUUUUGGUUGCUUUGAUAAUUGGUUUUGUAGAUCUACUACUAAAACUUGGCAAUCCACUACGAUGGUUGAACCAAGCUACCAUCAGCCAGUUCAUGUGUCAAUCAUCCGACAGGUUCUCGCUGAACUGUAUCAGCAGCAGGUAAAAUAAUCACGAACUGUGUAUGGAAUAUCCACGCUAGUAAAAAGUCACCUCAUGCGAAUGGAAAACUGUGUUUCCGUCAUUUUCUCUUUAUAGCCAAUGAAAUUUGACCACGCCAAA